Long non-coding RNA from Brienomyrus brachyistius, 6481 nucleotides. RefSeq lists it as uncharacterized. The record is from RefSeq and is a predicted model, not a curated record. NCBI's taxonomy places the organism in Eukaryota, Metazoa, Chordata, Actinopteri, Osteoglossiformes, Mormyridae. The transcript has 2 exons.
AGUAACUGCAAAUGCAAUCUUAGUUACAGCACCACACUAAUAUGUGCAUGAUGUAGAGAGCUGACAGCGAGAGCCUACAUGCAUACAGGUGUGGAGGGUGUCAUGCCCUGCUCCUGCUGAUCCUCCCGUGUGCCGAGCCCCCUCAUCUACCCUGUGUGGAAUCCCUGUGCUACCAGCUGUUUUGAGUCACGUUGAUUGUUGCUAUGUACUUAAGUCCACAUUAAAGUAUGUUUCCUCAGUCCCCAUUGACGUCAUGUUGUUGGUGUUCAGGGUUACGCUGACAGUGUUCACUUUCAGAGACACUGUCCACUCUUGUGCUCUCGAACACCUCGGGCCAGCUACCCGCAGGAACCAAGACUGGUUUGACGAGAACAACAAAGAGAUACAGGCACUGCAAAUGCAGAGAAGCACCAGCUGUUCAGAGCCCACAAGAAUGACCCCUCCUCACAAGCAAAGAAAGACGCCUUCACCAACGCCAGGCAGCACGUCCAGAAGAAGCUCCGUGAGACGCAGGAUGCCUGGUACAGUGCGAAGGUUACCCCGACAGCAACAACACUAAGCGUUUUUAUGACGCUUUGAAGGCUGUCUAAGGACCUCAGCCCACCAGCUCCUCCUCCCUCCUCAAUGCAGAUGGGACCCAGCUGUUGACAGAGAAGAAGCAGAUCCUGGAGAGAUGGGCUGAACACUUUGACCAGGUCCUUAACUGUCCUGCUGCAUUCAACGAAGAGGCCAUCGCACGCCUACUUCAAGUAGAGAUUAAUAACGACCUCGAUACUCCCCCCACAGAAGAUGAAGUCAGAAAGACCAUCAAGCAGUUCUCCUGCGGCAAAGCUCCAGGAUCAGACGCUAUUCCUGCAGAGGUUUACAAGGCAGGUGGCUCAGCCCUGUUGCAGAAUCUGACUAUGCUCUUCCAGUCAAUGUGGCGUGCAGACGAGGUUCCCCAGCAGUGGAAGGAUACUCGCAUCGUCCACAUCUACAAGAGGAAAGACAACUGGCAGCAAUGUGGCAACCACAGGGGCAUCUCUCUACUGUCCACUGCAGGGAAGAUCCUGGCUCCAGUCCUGCUCAACCACCUCCUUCUACACCUUGAGCAGGGGGCUCUUCCCAGAAAGUCAGUGUGGCUUCCGUGCUGAACGUGGAACUGUCGACAUGAUAUUUGCUGCGCGCCAACUUCAGGAGUGCCAAGAGCAACACAGCAACCUCUGACCGUUUUCAAUUUGACUAAGGCCUUCGAUACAGUCAGCAGAGACGGCUUAUGGAAAAUCAUGGAGAAGUUUGGCUGCCCCAGCGGGUUCAUCAUAAUGGUGCGACAGUUCCAUGACAGCAUGAUGGUCAAAGUACUCGACAAUGGUGACGAGUCAGAAGUCUUCCCUGUAACCAAUGGCGUCAAGCAAAGUUGCGUUCUUGCCUCGACACUCUUCAGCAUUGUAUUCUCCGCCAUGCUGACCGAUGCAUUCCAGGGCUCCCAAGAUAUUCCAGGGCAUCCACCUCAGAUAUCAGACUGACGGCAGGUUGUUCAACCUCAGACGCCUGCAGGCUAUCACAAAGGUGAAAGAGAUGAUUAUCAGAGACCUGUUGUUCGCUGACGACUGUGCCCUCAACGCCCCACAGAGCAGAAGAUGCAGCAUGAAAUGGAUUGCUUCUCCAAAGCUUGUGACAGCUUUGACCUCACCAUUAGCACCAAAAAGACCAAAGUCAUGUACCAGCCUGCACCAGGCAAGCCUUACCAUGAGCCACAUAUCAUACUGAAAGGGCAAUAACUUCAGACAGUUGACAACUUCACUUACCUGGGCAGCACCCUCUCUUGCGCCAUCAACAUUGAUGCCGAGAUCAACAACAGGGUGGCCAAGGCCACCUUUGGGAAACUCCGAGAGAAUGUCUGGGAGUGUAGAGGUAUCAGCCUAACUACCAAGCUGCUCUAUGCCUGUGAGACCUGGACCGUCUACAGCAGACGAGCCAAACAGCUCAACCACUUCCACACAAGCUGCCUCUGUCGACUCCUCCGCAUUAGGUGGCAGGACAAAGUGCCAGACACAGAGGUCCUAGAGUGGGCUGGCCUCCCCAGCACCUUCACCCUCCUGCAGAAGAUGCACGCAAGAUGGACUGGCCAUGUCAUCAGAAUGCCAGACAACCGACUGCCGAAGCAAGUCCUCUAUGUAUGCCAGGGCAGGCGUACAGCUGGGGGACAGAAGAAAUGCUUCAAAGACAGCCUGAAAACAUCCCUCAAAACACUGGGCUUCAACUUCAACUCAUGGAAAUCUCCUGCCCUGGACCGUCCAGCGUGGCGCAGAAACCUUACUAGUGGUGCCCGUGCAGCAGAACUGAAACGAACGACAGAUGUGCAAACCAAAUGAGCCGCAUGCAAAGCCAGAGCUGCCUCCACCUCCACCUCAGCACCCACCCAUGUGUGUCCCACAUGUGGGCAUACCUUCCAGGCCCAGAUUGGCCUCAUCGGCCAUCUUCAGACCCACAGCCACCGUUCUUUUAUUUGACUUGGAGCCAUGGUCAUCUUCGACCAUGAAGGACGUAGAGAGAGAGAGAGAGAGAGAGAGAAAGAGUGUUCUUUGUGUUCCUGAUUAUGUUUAUCCCUAAUAGAUCCUUCGUUCCCUGAUACCUCGACUCCCUUCACCUGCUUGCCUGCCCCGUAUCACGACAGAGGGUAGGAGCUACUGAGCUGCGCUGCGUCUUAAGGGGGAGUCCGAGCUUCACCGUUUCUCCAAACAUGGAAAUUAGUAAUGAAUGAAUAAUUAGUAAUUAGGAAGAAAUAUAAAAUUACCAUCAAUCGCCCUCGGUCUGGAGCUUCAUGCAAGAUCAUGCCUCAUGGGUUGAGGAUGAUCAAGAGAAAGGUAAGGGAUCAGCCCACAACUACACAGGGGGAGCUUGUUAAUGAUCUGAAGGCAGUUGGGACCACAGUUACCAAGAACACCACUGGUAACACACUAUGCCAUGAAGGAUUGAAAUCUUGCAGCUCUCACAAGGUGCACAUGUACAGGUCCAUCUUAAAUUUACCAGUAAACAUCUUAAUGAUUCAGAGAAGACUUGAGACAAAGUACUGUGGUCAGUUGAAACCAAAAUCGAACUCUCUGGCAUCAACUCGACCCACUGUGUUUGGAGGAAGAGAAAUGCUGAGCAUGAAGCACAGAGGUGGGAACAUUAUGCUUUGGGGCUCUCUCCAUUUAAAUAAACCUACCAAAAAAAUACAAACCGUUCAUUUCUUUGUAAGUGAGCAAACUUACAAAUUCAGCAGGGGAUCAAAUAAUUAUUUCCCCCACUGUGUGUAAACACACACACACACAAACACACACACACAUGUAGGGUAUAUCUAUCCUUAUGGGGCCCACUCAUUCACUUCUAUGGGAAAAAUGCUAAUGCUAACUAUGACAACCUUAACCCCCACCCUGCCCUAAUCAUAACCGUAAGUAACCAAGCAAAGUAAGACUUUUUGCAUUUUUAGUUUUUUCAUAGUAGUCACUGAUUUUUUCUCAAAAUACAGUUUAAAAAGAAAUGGAUAUUUAUCACGUUAUGGGGACAUUGUGUCCCCAUAAGGAUAGGCACACACACACACACACACACACACAUUUUCUAUUUCUCACUUACACAUUUGAAAUUUAAAGACGGGCUUUUAAAGAUUGGACCAGCAGACAUUUUCUUCUAGUAAUUUCUCACAUAUAGUGAAUAUCCAUAAGGUCUUUAUUUCCCAUAUCAUUAUAUGUGCCCUUGAGAGGUAAAGUUAGCUAUCCCACAUGUCAGUCAAAAAUGAGUUUAGUGUCCAAUAUUAAUUAUUGAGGGUCUAUCUGUUAUUAUCUAAGUCAUAUCUCUGUGCUACCUAUGAUAUAUAUCAAUUGUAGGGUAUAGGCACACUGAUUUUUUGAAAAUACAUUUUUCAACUUUGGAGCUCAUUUUCUCAAAACUUUGUUUUUGUGGGAUAGCCCACUUUACCUCUCAAGGGCACAUAAUAUAAUAGGAUGCUGUGCGAGGCAACAUACCUUCUAUUUCCCAUGAAAAAGCAGAACAGGAUUUUCCCACCCAGAACCAAACUCUAGGAGUUUCCUCACAUUGUUACUUGGUCAAUGCCAUUAUUUUAAUCUUGCUUUAUCACCUAGUGCUACCUCACAGGCUUUUCCUGCUCCUUGAAGGUCCCAUUUGAAAUAAUAGUAGCUGUCAUGCACGUACUUGCUUCUGUUACAAUUUCUGGCACAGCCUAAAGACCUCAACAUGCUACAGGCCGGUGGUGCUGACAUCUCAUCUGAUGAAGACCCUGGAGCGGUUGGUCCUGGUCCACGUUCGACCGUUAGUGAGCCCUUCACUGGACCCACUUCAGUUUGCCUACCAGCCUGGCGUUGGGGUAGAUGAUGCUAUUAUUCAUCUCCUACACAGAUCCCUCUCUCACCUGGAAAAGCCUGGGAGCACUGUGAGAAUCAUGUUUUUUGAUUUCUCCAGUGCCUUCAACACCAUCAUACCCACAAGACUGAGGGACAAGUUACUGUACACAGGAGUGGGCCCCCACCUCACCACCUGGAUUCUGGACUAUCUAACGAAUCGACGAUACAGGACUGUGUGUCUGACACAGUCGUGUGCAGUACAGGGGCCCCACAAGGAACAGUCCUGGCCCCAUUUCUCUUCACCAUAUACACUGCGGACUUCUCACACAACUUGACCAACUGUUUUCUGCAAAAAUUCUCUGAUGACUCCGCGUUUGUUGGCCUCAUUGCUAAUGAGGAUGACAAGGAGUACAGAGAAAUAACCCAAGACUUUGUGGACUGGUGCCAACUGAACAACCUCUAUAUUAAUGCUGGAAAGACCAAAGAACUGGUAGUGGAUUAUCGUAGGCACAAACGUCUUCCACCCACACCAGUCAACAUCUAGGGGAUGGACAUUCAGAUUGUUGACUCCUAUAAGUAUCUGGGUGUUCAUCUGAACAAUAAACUGGACUGGACCCACAAUACAAAUGCUAUUUACAGUAAAGGUCAGAGCAGGGUGUAUCUGCUAUGCAGACUGAGGUCCUUUGGAAUGCAAGGGCCACUCCUGAAGACCUUUUAUGAUUCUGUGGUGGCAUCAGUCAUCUUCUAUGGUGUGGUCUGCUGAGGCAGCAGCAUCUCUACUGGGGAGAGGAAAAAACUGAACAGGCUGAUUAAAAAGGCCAGCUCUGUCUUGGGAGGUCCCCCUGACUCAGGGGAGCUGGUGAGCGACAGGAGAACGUUGGCUGAGUUACAUUCCCUGUUGGAGGACAUCUCCCACCCCUUACAGGACACACUGUCAGUACUGAGCAGCUCCAUCAGCGGCAGACUGGUGCAUCCAAGCUUGUAAUCGAACCCACAACUGCUGAUGCUCCAGAUACUCAACUAGGUCAAAGAAGGCAAGUUUUAUUGCUCCUUUAAUCAGCGCCACAAUUUUGUGCUAACAUUAUUACAAAAGGGUUUUCUAAUGAUCAAUUAACCUUUUAAAAUAAUAAACUUGCAUUAGCAAACACAACAUUCCACUGGAACGCAGGACUAAUUGUUGCUGAUAAUGGGCCUCUGUACAGCUAUGUAAAUAUUCCAUUAAAAAACAGCGGUUUCCAGCUAUGAUAGUCAUUGACAAUAUUAACAAUGAGUAUAUGUCACGCCCGGCUCGUCCGAUCCUCCUGUGUGCCACGCCCUCUCAUUUACCUCAUGUGAAACCCCAAUUGUUAACCAGCUGUUUCCUGUUUUGCUUGUUUAAUCCUGUGUAUUAUGUCCACGUCUGAGUCUUUAACCCUAGAUCUGUCAUUAAUGUUAGUUCCUCGCUGCCUGUGUUUCCUUCGUUUCCCCGUAAUAAACCCCGUUUCCCGAUUAUCCGUCUCCCUGCUCCUGCUUCUCCAGACGCAAUCACAACAUAGUAUUUCUGAUCAAUCUGAUAUAAUUUUAAUUGAUAAAAAAAAAUCUAAGUCACCCCAAACGUUUGAACAGUACUGUAGGUAUCAAAUUAAUUUACACAUAGGAACAACUAUGGUACCAUCUAGAUGGUAAUUAAUGAUAUGUACGAGGAAACUGCAUAUCACAAUGGGGUACCAUGUUCCAAUGUUUAUAUAUGUACAGACUGUCCCAGAUUUACAAUCUAUGUGACUUAUGACCAUUGGCACAUCAGAAUCAAAAUCGGUUUUAUUGGCCAACUAAAGUGGCACAAGGAAUUUGACUUGAUGUUUUGCUCCAAUACGGACAAAACAGUAAACAUUAAAUAAUUAAAGCAAACAUAAAAGGAAAAUACAGGUAUGAGGUCAUUUUAAAAACCCUACUGCAAUACUGCAAAUAGUAGAUAUGUCAUGCCCUGCUCGUGCCAAUCCCCCUGUGUGCCAUCCCCCUCGUUACCUUGUGCAGAAUCCCUGGUUCCCAGCUGUUUCUAGUUGUGUUAAGUAGUCCUGUGUAUUUAAAUCCGCAUUACAGUAUGUUUCCCCAGUCCGGUCAUUAACGUCUUAACAUCGCCAAUGUUUCCUGUGCUUUAAUAAACUCCAAGUUUACCUAUA